RNAcentral lists this ribosomal RNA (850 nucleotides) under Cortinarius sp. 8 RT-2012. RNAcentral's name for it is "eukaryotic LSU rRNA". The stretch from base 301 to 454 matches the Rfam family "5.8S ribosomal RNA". The record is from RNAcentral. Lineage: Eukaryota; Fungi; Basidiomycota; Agaricomycetes; Agaricales; Cortinariaceae.
CUUAGUGAGGUCUCCGGAUUGGCUUUGGCGCACCGGCAACGGAAUGCUAUCGCUGAGAAGUUGAUCAAACUUGGUCAUUUAGAGGAAGUAAAAGUCGUAACAAGGUUUCCGUAGGUGAACCUGCGGAAGGAUCAUUAUUGAAAUAAACCUGAUGGGUUGUUGCUGGUUCUCUAGGGAGCAUGUGCACACCUUGUCAUCUUUAUAUCUCCACCUGUGCACUUUUUGUAGACCUUUCAGGUCUAUGUUGCUUCAUUUACCCCAAUGUAUGUUAAUAGAAUGUUGUGCCUAUAUAAUAUAUACAACUUUCAGCAACGGAUCUCUUGGCUCUCGCAUCGAUGAAGAACGCAGCGAAAUGCGAUAAGUAAUGUGAAUUGCAGAAUUCAGUGAAUCAUCGAAUCUUUGAACGCACCUUGCGCUCCUUGGUAUUCCGAGGAGCAUGCCUGUUUGAGUGUCAUUAAUAUAUCAACCUUCUCUUGUUUGAGUUGUUUGGAUGUGGGGGUUUGCUGGACUCUUUAAUGAAUUCAGCUCCCCUGAAAUGCAUUAGCAGAACAACCUGUUCAUUGGCGUGAUAAUUAUCUAUGCUAUUGAAUGUGAGGGCAGUUCAGCUUUCUAAUCGUCCUUGGACAAUUUAUCAUUAAUGUGACCUCAAAUCAGGUAGGACUACCCGCUGAACUUAAGCAUAUCAAUAAGCGGAGGAAAAGAAACUAACAAGGAUUCCCCUAGUAACUGCGAGUGAAGCGGGAAAAGCUCAAAUUUAAAAUCUGGCGGCCUUUUUGCUGUCCGAGUUGUAAUCUAGAGAAGUGUUAUCCGCGCUGGACCGUGUACAAGUCUCCUGGAAUGGAGCAUCAUA